CCCUUAGAUGGUCUGGGCGGCACGCGCGCUACAAUGAUGCAUUCAAAAAGUCUUCUGACCUUAGAAGGUUUGGUACUCUCCAAAGUGCAUCGUGAUGGGAAUAGUUUAUUGCAAUUUUUAAUCUUGAACGAGGAAUUCCUAGUAAGUACAGGUCAUCAACUUGUGUUGAUUACGUCCCUGCCCUUUGUACACACCGCCCGUCGCUCCUACUGAUUGAGUGUCUCAAUGAAUUCUUUGAUCUUCUGUCGAUUCAGUUCACUGAUCCGACGGUGGAAAGUUGAAUGAACUUCGUCACUUAGAGGAAGGAGAAGUCGUAACA
This 319-nucleotide ribosomal RNA is filed under the name uncultured eukaryote. RNAcentral's name for it is "partial 18S ribosomal RNA". It matches the Rfam family "Eukaryotic small subunit ribosomal RNA", at positions 1470 to 1796 of the family's 1831-position model. The record is from RNAcentral.